RNAcentral lists this ribosomal RNA (2903 nucleotides) under Escherichia coli. RNAcentral's name for it is "bacterial LSU rRNA". It matches the Rfam family "Bacterial large subunit ribosomal RNA". The record is from RNAcentral. Lineage: Bacteria; Pseudomonadati; Pseudomonadota; Gammaproteobacteria; Enterobacterales; Enterobacteriaceae.
UUAAGCGACUAAGCGUACACGGUGGAUGCCCUGGCAGUCAGAGGCGAUGAAGGACGUGCUAAUCUGCGAUAAGCGUCGGUAAGGUGAUAUGAACCGUUAUAACCGGCGAUUUCCGAAUGGGGAAACCCAGUGUGUUUCGACACACUAUCAUUAACUGAAUCCAUAGGUUAAUGAGGCGAACCGGGGGAACUGAAACAUCUAAGUACCCCGAGGAAAAGAAAUCAACCGAGAUUCCCCCAGUAGCGGCGAGCGAACGGGGAGGAGCCCAGAGCCUGAAUCAGUGUGUGUGUUAGUGGAAGCGUCUGGAAAGGCGCGCGAUACAGGGUGACAGCCCCGUACACAAAAAUGCACAUACUGUGAGCUCGAUGAGUAGGGCGGGACACGUGGUAUCCUGUCUGAAUAUGGGGGGACCAUCCUCCAAGGCUAAAUACUCCUGACUGACCGAUAGUGAACCAGUACCGUGAGGGAAAGGCGAAAAGAACCCCGGCGAGGGGAGUGAAAAAGAACCUGAAACCGUGUACGUACAAGCAGUGGGAGCACGCUUCGGCGUGUGACUGCGUACCUUUUGUAUAAUGGGUCAGCGACUUAUAUUCUGUAGCAAGGUUAACCGAAUAGGGGAGCCGAAGGGAAACCGAGUCUUAACUGGGCGUUAAGUUGCAGGGUAUAGACCCGAAACCCGGUGAUCUAGCCAUGGGCAGGUUGAAGGUUGGGUAACACUAACUGGAGGACCGAACCGACUAAUGUUGAAAAAUUAGCGGAUGACUUGUGGCUGGGGGUGAAAGGCCAAUCAAACCGGGAGAUAGCUGGUUCUCCCCGAAAGCUAUUUAGGUAGCGCCUCGUGAAUUCAUCUCCGGGGGUAGAGCACUGUUUCGGCAAGGGGGUCAUCCCGACUUACCAACCCGAUGCAAACUGCGAAUACCGGAGAAUGUUAUCACGGGAGACACACGGCGGGUGCUAACGUCCGUCGUGAAGAGGGAAACAACCCAGACCGCCAGCUAAGGUCCCAAAGUCAUGGUUAAGUGGGAAACGAUGUGGGAAGGCCCAGACAGCCAGGAUGUUGGCCUAGAAGCAGCCAUCAUUUAAAGAAAGCGUAAUAGCUCACUGGUCGAGUCGGCCUGCGCGGAAGAUGUAACGGGGCUAAACCAUGCACCGAAGCUGCGGCAGCGACACUAUGUGUUGUUGGGUAGGGGAGCGUUCUGUAAGCCUGCGAAGGUGUACUGUGAGGUAUGCUGGAGGUAUCAGAAGUGCGAAUGCUGACAUAAGUAACGAUAAAGCGGGUGAAAAGCCCGCUCGCCGGAAGACCAAGGGUUCCUGUCCAACGUUAAUCGGGGCAGGGUGAGUCGACCCCUAAGGCGAGGCCGAAAGGCGUAGUCGAUGGGAAACAGGUUAAUAUUCCUGUACUUGGUGUUACUGCGAAGGGGGGACGGAGAAGGCUAUGUUGGCCGGGCGACGGUUGUCCCGGUUUAAGCGUGUAGGCUGGUUUUCCAGGCAAAUCCGGAAAAUCAAGGCUGAGGCGUGAUGACGAGGCACUACGGUGCUGAAGCAACAAAUGCCCUGCUUCCAGGAAAAGCCUCUAAGCAUCAGGUAACAUCAAAUCGUACCCCAAACCGACACAGGUGGUCAGGUAGAGAAUACCAAGGCGCUUGAGAGAACUCGGGUGAAGGAACUAGGCAAAAUGGUGCCGUAACUUCGGGAGAAGGCACGCUGAUAUGUAGGUGAAGUCCCUCGCGGAUGGAGCUGAAAUCAGUCGAAGAUACCAGCUGGCUGCAACUGUUUAUUAAAAACACAGCACUGUGCAAACACGAAAGUGGACGUAUACGGUGUGACGCCUGCCCGGUGCCGGAAGGUUAAUUGAUGGGGUUAGCGGUAACGCGAAGCUCUUGAUCGAAGCCCCGGUAAACGGCGGCCGUAACUAUAACGGUCCUAAGGUAGCGAAAUUCCUUGUCGGGUAAGUUCCGACCUGCACGAAUGGCGUAAUGAUGGCCAGGCUGUCUCCACCCGAGACUCAGUGAAAUUGAACUCGCUGUGAAGAUGCAGUGUACCCGCGGCAAGACGGAAAGACCCCGUGAACCUUUACUAUAGCUUGACACUGAACAUUGAGCCUUGAUGUGUAGGAUAGGUGGGAGGCUUUGAAGUGUGGACGCCAGUCUGCAUGGAGCCGACCUUGAAAUACCACCCUUUAAUGUUUGAUGUUCUAACGUUGGCCCCUGAUCGGGGUUGCGGACAGUGUCUGGUGGGUAGUUUGACUGGGGCGGUCUCCUCCUAAAGAGUAACGGAGGAGCACGAAGGUUGGCUAAUCCUGGUCGGACAUCAGGAGGUUAGUGCAAUGGCAUAAGCCAGCUUGACUGCGAGCGUGACGGCGCGAGCAGGUGCGAAAGCAGGUCAUAGUGAUCCGGUGGUUCUGAAUGGAAGGGCCAUCGCUCAACGGAUAAAAGGUACUCCGGGGAUAACAGGCUGAUACCGCCCAAGAGUUCAUAUCGACGGCGGUGUUUGGCACCUCGAUGUCGGCUCAUCACAUCCUGGGGCUGAAGUAGGUCCCAAGGGUAUGGCUGUUCGCCAUUUAAAGUGGUACGCGAGCUGGGUUUAGAACGUCGUGAGACAGUUCGGUCCCUAUCUGCCGUGGGCGCUGGAGAACUGAGGGGGGCUGCUCCUAGUACGAGAGGACCGGAGUGGACGCAUCACUGGUGUUCGGGUUGUCAUGCCAAUGGCACUGCCCGGUAGCUAAAUGCGGAAGAGAUAAGUGCUGAAAGCAUCUAAGCACGAAACUUGCCCCGAGAUGAGUUCUCCCUGACUCCUUGAGAGUCCUGAAGGAACGUUGAAGACGACGACGUUGAUAGGCCGGGUGUGUAAGCGCAGCGAUGCGUUGAGCUAACCGGUACUAAUGAACCGUGAGGCUUAACCUU